GUGGCGAAGGCGGCUUACUGGACUGUAACUGACGUUGAGAAAAGGGAGUGUGGGUAGCAAACAGGAUUAGAUACCCUGGAGGGGCGCCCUAAACGAUGAACACUAGGUGUUAGAAGGUUUCCGCCUCUUAGUGCCGAAGCUAACGCAUUAAGAAAGUCCGCCUGAGGGAGUACGACCGCAAGGUUGAAACUCAAAGGAAUUGACGGGGACCCGCACAAGCGGUGGAGCAUGUGGUUUAAUUCGAAGCUACGCGAAGAACCUUACCAGGUCUUGACAUCCUUUGAAAAUUUUAGAGAUAGAAUGUUCUCUUUCGGAGACAAAGUGACAGGUGGUGCAUGGUCGCCGUCACCUCGUGUGGGAGAAUUUUGGGUUAAGUCCUUCUUUCUGGCUCAACCCUUAUUGUUAGUUGCCAGCUUUUGGAUGGGCACUCUAGCGAGCCUGCCGGUGACAAACCGGAGAAGGCGGGGACGACUCAAAUCAAUCAUGCCCUUUAUGAUCUGGGUAUAAA
This 508-nucleotide ribosomal RNA is filed under the name uncultured Bacillota bacterium. Its description in RNAcentral is "bacterial SSU rRNA". It matches the Rfam family "Bacterial small subunit ribosomal RNA", at positions 712 to 1220 of the family's 1533-position model. The record is from RNAcentral. Lineage: Bacteria; Bacillati; Bacillota.